Molecule: long non-coding RNA, 541 nt
Filed under: Jatropha curcas
Lineage: Eukaryota; Viridiplantae; Streptophyta; Magnoliopsida; Malpighiales; Euphorbiaceae
Description: long non-coding RNA (JCUR_LNC000835)
Source: RNAcentral
CUAAAUUCAUCAACAUAUCAUCAAACAAACCCUAAUAUCUUUCUCGGGCUUAAAAAAUUAAGUAAUGGCAACCAAUUCUCUCAAAACUCUUUUGGUGACUCUGUUGGUCUGUGCACUAGUAAUGUCUCCGAUGAUGCCCAUUGAAGCAUCUCCUCUUAAUCAUCGUCGAGGUAUAUCCUAUAUCAUUACUUAUUGCAUGUCAUCAAUGGCUGUAUAUUUUAAAUAUAUUUACGGUUGUUUUAAUAUGAAUCCUAAUGUUGCAGAGCUCCGUAGAUUACCACCAAAUUGUGACCCUGGCUAUUAUCUUGUAUGCAAGCCCAACAAUGAAUGCAAGUGUUGUGAAGAAGGCACGCCUCCUAGCAAUUGCUGAAAAUCAAAUUAUUAUGAAUAAAUGAGUAUUUCAAUAAGAAUAUAAAUUAGAAGACUGUCUCUCUUUAUAUAUUUAUUUAUAACUUGUAUGAGCUACUCAAAUAUGUUUAGCUAUCAUAUCUUAAUAAAAGAGUACCUCCCUUAAUAUAUUUAUUUAUGUUUGAAAACAAAG